GAAUCUUCCGCAAUGGACGCAAGUCUGACGGAGCAACGCCGCGUGAGUGAUGAAGGUUUUCGGAUCGUAAAGCUCUGUUGCCAGGGAAGAAUAAGCGGGGGAGCAACUGCCCCUGUGAUGACGGUACCUGAGAAGAAAGCCCCGGCUAACUACGUGCCAGCAGCCGCGGUAAUACGUAGGGGGCAAGCGUUGUCCGGAAUUAUUGGGCGUAAAGCGCGCGCAGGCGGUCUUUUAAGUCUGGUGUUUAAACCUGAGGCUCAACUUCGGGUCGCAUCGGAAACUGGGGGACUUGAGUGCAGAAGAGGAGAGUGGAAUUCCACGUGUAGCGGUGAAAUGCGUAGAGAUGUGGAGGAACACCAGUGGCGAAGGCGACUCUCUGGGCUGUAACUGACGCUGAGGCGCGAAAGCGUGGGGAGCAAAC
This 421-nucleotide ribosomal RNA is filed under the name uncultured bacterium. Its description in RNAcentral is "bacterial SSU rRNA". It matches the Rfam family "Bacterial small subunit ribosomal RNA", at positions 359 to 773 of the family's 1533-position model. The record is from RNAcentral.